GAAUAAAGGAAGAAAAGGAGGUGGGGAAGCUUCUCACCCCACCGUCCCCUCAGUGGGAUGCGCGUGGUUGUGUGAGGGGUGCAGUGCCGGGCAGGAGGGGCGGGUUCUGGCUGCAGGAAGCCCCCUGCCUACGUGGAAGGAGCUGUGAAGAGGAAUCGUGGCAUUAGAAAGCGUUGCCUUGUUCCCACUUCAUUUCCUAGUACCAGAUAAUUGCUUUUUCAACUCAAUUGAGACUCGGUUUGUGUUAUUGCUGUUACCGCUCCUCUGCGAGCUUCUGUGUCUGUCUCAGAGACCCGUGUCUCCUGUUAGUCUCGUGCUCGCUCUCUGGACGUGGUUGAUAACAAAUGAUGUUCAGUGCUAAGUUCAGUAAUGGCAUCCUGAAAGUGCACGGCGAGGAGGUGGCAGUGACGACGGGAGGGAAUUGCCAUGUUCCUGGGCUGUCCCUGUGCUCCAUCAGCUGUGGAGCCCUAUAGGCCGUGCAGCCGGGCCCUUCUCCUUCACCGGACGGAUGCUACUGCUCUCAGCCAUCUUUUACACUAAACCAACACAUGUAUCCAGUAAACAUUCCAAAAAACUCUGAUCACAAACCACUGUUCAUACUUUAUUUUGGUGGAGGUCCUUAUUCACUUCUGUUGAAAAUGAGGUGAGAUGUCCCUUCUGCUUGACAUUGUGUCACAUCGGAGCGUUUUUGGGCAGUGUGGCUUUGAGGCACGCAGAUCAACCAAGAAAACCAUUCACAGCUGAAUUAAGUGCUGGCUUCUCUCACAGGACUUUGGUGCAACUUUUUUUCUCCUGAAUUCUCCUGCUCCUGGAUUUAUGUAAUUAAAUGACAACCUCAGCUCUUGUGAGAAAUAAAAAAUACGGUUUCUAUACAUCACGAUUCCGGAGGGACACUUUAAAAAGUGAUUUGACGUUUCCCUAAAUGUGCAACGACCAACAGAGAAAUAAAAUGAAACCCACAUUUAUUAUUAGGAAAAAUCUUGCAACUUUUAGCCGUGCUUGUCAUUUUAAAAACUGACUUAUGAUUUAGAUGAGACAUUAAGAACAGUUUUCUAAUAGAAAGAUGGGAAGCAUGAGGAUAGAUUGCCUGGAGUGGCAGUGGGAGGAUUUGAAAAUUGGUUGGACAAAUGUCUGCAGGAACGUGGCAGCUGCAGCCGAUGCGGCCCCGUGCAAUGGACACACCAGGACUCCUUCGUGCCCCUGUGGACAGGGGCUGUCAAACCCAGGAUCGCUCCCUGCCCGGUGCUGCCUUUCCGCUUGACUUCUCUGGGCUUACUUUUUGGGCAUAAGCAGUUCCUCUGGGCAGCCAGGAGCAAGGCAGGGGGUCACCUUCUCUGCACACGUUAUACAUGAAUAAACACCUUCCUAGGAUUACUUAACCCAAGUCUG
Meleagris gallopavo (turkey) is the source of this 1389-nucleotide non-coding RNA. NCBI's taxonomy places the organism in Eukaryota, Metazoa, Chordata, Aves, Galliformes, Phasianidae. The record is from RefSeq and is a predicted model, not a curated record.